This 20-nucleotide ribosomal RNA is filed under the name Escherichia coli 2-011-08_S1_C2. Lineage: Bacteria; Pseudomonadati; Pseudomonadota; Gammaproteobacteria; Enterobacterales; Enterobacteriaceae. The record is from RNAcentral.
UGAGCUAACCGGUACUAAUG